GGUUGUGGCUCAGUGGUACAACACUUGCCUAGCACACAAGAGGCCCUGGGUUCAAUACUCAGCACCA
Molecule: transfer RNA, 67 nt
Filed under: Marmota monax (woodchuck)
Lineage: Eukaryota; Metazoa; Chordata; Mammalia; Rodentia; Sciuridae
Description: tRNA.Ala
Source: RNAcentral